This 1588-nucleotide long non-coding RNA is filed under the name Macaca mulatta (Rhesus monkey). Its description in RNAcentral is "lncRNA (ENSMMUG00000053337.1)". Lineage: Eukaryota; Metazoa; Chordata; Mammalia; Primates; Cercopithecidae. The record is from RNAcentral.
GACGCACCCACUGUUUGGCCUCGGCAGCCUGAUGUUUCUCACCACACAGGAAGACAGUCAUGCUACAGGAAGACCUCGGACUUUGCAUCCAGCAGAUGGUUGUUCUAGGAAUUGCCAGAUUGACAACACACCACACACCCAGAAGGCACCCAAGUCACAGAGCCUGAUAUUGUUCCCAGAGCGCCAUUGCAUCACCCUUGACCACAAGACCUGCGUCAUUGGAUUUGUCUCCAAAACUUGGGACUCUGGAGAUAAAACGUCGUUGCAAGGCUACCUUUGCCACUGAAUCUUAGCAGCUUUUGAAGCAAAGCAUUUCAAUAUUUAGACACUGUGUGUUUCUAAUGGGUACUGGGAUCAAAAUAAUAAAAACUCAGCCUGCAAAGGGAGAAGAAUAGAAACCAGCAGAUUCAUUAUUUCACAGAAUGUUCCUCUCCUCUCAGACCCAUGAGAUGCUUGGUCCUGAGCCUAAAGGAUGCAGGGGCCUGGCUGGGACCCAGCUGGGAAGCUGAUGCUGUUCUCCAGGAAACCUCUCUCCGCAGCCCGAAUGCUUGACUUUGAACUUUUCCAAGACUUCCAGCACCAGAGACUCAGGACUGACCAACUUUCUCAAUAUCCUAUUCCCCCAACCCCACUCUGGGCUCCCAGUCAAUCUCCCUCCCCCCUUUUUCCCCUGUAAAAAACCUAAACUGCUCAGUUAUUCUCCCUCAACCCCUGGAUCACAUCAGCCCCAUGGAGAGCUCCACUCUGGUCCACCACCUCCAGCAGAGCCACUUAGCUGGGAGGGCCAAGGGCGCAAGCCCACCGGGAGCCCACACCGGGUAUCUGGGAUCCUGGAAUUCCUCACCCCAAAUGCUAACCCUAAUUUUAGAACCUGAUCACAAAGGAUUUCAUCCUUGAAAGAAACUGUUCCAGCAAUCUUGAUUUUGACAUGAGUCUGGAAAGGAUCUUGAGCACUACAUGGGUCCCACUGGGGGUCCCACUGGGGGUCUCCUCCCAGUGGCUCCUGUUCCCUCCCGGCACAGCUGGCCUUUGCUCUGCACCUCCACUCCGCACUGAGGUCCCUUUGGCUAGUCCUCAUGGAGGGGCCUCAGGAGAAGUGGGGAAAGCACAGGUUCCCCACAAAAGACUCCAAUGUGGGCUCAGCCUAGUCAUGUGACCCUAGACAAGCUUUUAAUUUGCCUGCACCCCACAGCACAAGUAACCUCCCCUGCUGUUAUGGGUUGAGUUAUGUUCCUCCAAAAAAGAUCUGUUGCAGUCCUAACCCCCAGGACCUGAAAAUGUGACCGUAUUUGGGCAUAGGGUCUUUACAGAGGUCAUCAAGGUAAAGUGAGGUCGUUAGGAUGGGCCCUAGUGUGAUAUGAUUGGCGUCCCUACAAAAAGGGGAAAUUUGGACACGGAAACAGACAGGCAUUGAGGGAAGAUGAUGUGAAGAGACACAGGGAGAAGAUGUCAUCUACAAGCCACAGAGAGAGGCCCAGAGCAGACCCUCCCUUACUGCCCUCAGAAGGAGCCAGCCCUGCCAAUGCCUCGAUCUUGGACUUCCAGCCUCCAGAGCUUUCAGACAAUAAACGUCUGCUGUUUCAGCCCC